GAGGGUAUAGCUCAGUGGUAAGAGUGUGUGCUUAGCAUGCACGAGGUCCUGGGUUCAAUCCCCAGUACCUCCU
This 73-nucleotide transfer RNA is filed under the name Camelus bactrianus (Bactrian camel). It matches the Rfam family "tRNA". From Rfam's summary of the family: Transfer RNA (tRNA) molecules are approximately 80 nucleotides in length. Their secondary structure includes four short double-helical elements and three loops (D, anti-codon, and T loops). RNAcentral also lists the same sequence under 2 other names. Lineage: Eukaryota; Metazoa; Chordata; Mammalia; Artiodactyla; Camelidae. The record is from Rfam by way of RNAcentral.